ACUUCGGCAAAGGUCGUGAAUUCCGCGGUCCGUGUCAAGUGGCCAUCUUGAAACUGCCUCGCCGCUGUUAAAUUUUAAGACCGUAUCCCGGUACUCCCCCAUUUAGAUCUAGGAAGCAGAAGUAAUUGUUCCGAUGGAUAAUAGAAAACAUGACCUGGUAGGUAACUUUUUAUUAAUAUUUCAUAGUUAGUCUGAAACCCUUAGUGCUAAGGAAUUGGAAGGCCAGAAUUGGCCCGUUUUUGCUGUUCCUUUGUAAUUUGAAAGGGGCUGAUAGCCAGCUAAAUAGAGAGUAACAGAUAGUUGCUAAGACUUGAGCACCGUGAUGUGAGUACAGAUCAGUGAUAUAACGUUGGUUAUCUUCUCUUGCAGAUAAUCAAGAAAUUCAGUGUGGUAUGGGUGAAGUCCUGUUUGUUUAGAAGCCUGUGGCGCACUGCCAAAAGGUUUGGCUGACACACCAUCCACUUGUUUGCUUUGCUGAAAUGCCUUCAACUCCUCCUCAAAUAAAAAUUGGAUGAAAUUGCCAGACAAGCUUGAGCAAGAAAGGAUCUGAAACACAGCAGUUUAGUAAAAA
Molecule: long non-coding RNA, 571 nt
Organism: Lontra canadensis (Northern American river otter)
Lineage: Eukaryota; Metazoa; Chordata; Mammalia; Carnivora; Mustelidae
Exons: 3
Source: RefSeq, a predicted model, not a curated record